RNAcentral lists this ribosomal RNA (254 nucleotides) under uncultured bacterium. Its description in RNAcentral is "partial 16S ribosomal RNA". It matches the Rfam family "Bacterial small subunit ribosomal RNA", at positions 524 to 776 of the family's 1533-position model. The record is from RNAcentral.
UACGUAGGGUGCAAGCGUUGUCCGGAAUUAUUGGGCGUAAAGAGCUCGUAGGCGGUCUGUCGCGUCUGCUGUGAAAAACCUAGGGCUUAACUCUGGGCGUGCAGUGGGUACGGGCAGGCUAGAGUGCGGUAGGGGAGACUGGAAUUCCUGGUGUAGCGGUGAAAUGCGCAGAUAUCAGGAGGAACACCGGUGGCGAAGGCGGGUCUCUGGGCCGUAACUGACGCUGAGGAGCGAAAGCAUGGGGAGCGAACAGG